CUUAAUAGUAUUUAGUAGUAUUAGGGGCUUAGCCCAGUUUAUUAUAGCCUAGAGGAGUUAUAUAGUCAUGUAAUCAACACCUUUGAGAUUAAGCAAAGAUCAAUCUGUUUUGAUCGGCUCCAACCAGGAGCCGGUGCCCUAACCCUAGCCGCGCCAAUCUCUCUCCCGAUCUCUGUCAGCCACGGCACCCCAGCAUCGUCGUCCGCCACUACCACCUCGCCAACCCUCCCCGCACCCUUACAACCUGCGAGCACGCCCUGGUAGGCAUCGUAUACCUACCAUUGGGGCCCUUGAU
This 295-nucleotide long non-coding RNA is filed under the name Hordeum vulgare. Its description in RNAcentral is "long non-coding RNA (HVUL_LNC003519)". Lineage: Eukaryota; Viridiplantae; Streptophyta; Magnoliopsida; Poales; Poaceae. The record is from RNAcentral.